Molecule: long non-coding RNA, 1899 nt
Filed under: Salarias fasciatus (jewelled blenny)
Lineage: Eukaryota; Metazoa; Chordata; Actinopteri; Blenniiformes; Blenniidae
Description: lncRNA (ENSSFAG00005002116.1)
Source: RNAcentral
GUCUGCAGAUCUGCGCUGGCAGAACCUUCUGACCAGCAUCCUGAAACAGGAAGGCAGAGUGCAGACGGUGGAGGAUUUGGAGUGGGCAGACAGGUGUGAGUUGUUGCGGCGUAAUCCGGUGACUGCGGCCAGGAUGUUUGAUUACAGGUGGCAUUGUUUUCUGAAAGAGGUUCUCAUGUCUCCUUCUGAGCCAAUUGGCAGAAUCAUCGAUCACUUCUACCGUGUUGAGUUUCAGCAGCGCGGUUCUCCUCAUGUUCACUGCUUGUUCUGGAUCGAGGGCGCUCCUAAAAUUGACCAGAACACAGAUGAGGAGGUGGUCGAGUUCAUUGAUCAGUUUGUGACGUGCGAGCUGCCCUCAGACGACGACACAUUAUUGGACAUUGUGUCGUCAGUUCAAACACAUUCCAAACGACACUCAAAGUCUUGUCGGAAGAACAAGACGACGUGUCGUUUCCAUUUCCCAAAACCUGCUUCUACGCGUACAUUCCUUUGUAAGAUGAAGGAAUGUCGCUGUGACAAACAGAAGCUGAAGGAGGCCCAGAAGAAUCCUGAUUCAGAAAACAAGCUGGUCUGUAAGUGCUUUGAGAAGGAUAACCCGAUGAAGAAGGAGGUCGCAAAGGAGAUUUUGGCGUCUGUGAGCAAAGCUAUCAGGGAGGAGGAGCCGUUUGAUAGUGUAGAGGAGUUGUUUGCCAGUCGACACAUCAACCAGGAUAUAUUUGAAAUGGCCUACAGGAGGUUGGAGAAGAAGACCAAGGUUGUGUAUAGGAGAGGGUUGAAGGAGGUGUGGGUAAACCAGUAUAGCAAGAAGUUGUUGAAGUGCUGGAACGCUAACAUGGACCUUAGCUUUGUCACCGACGCCUACGCUGUAAUUGUUUACAUCAUUUCGUAUAUUACGAAAGCAGAGAGAGAAAUUGGCCUACUAUUGAACAACGCCCAAAAAGAAGCAAACAAAGAAGGAAACCUCUCUGCUCGAGAAGCCCUGAAGAAGCUGGGCAGUGUAUAUUUACACAACAGGGACGUUUGUGCCCAGGAGGCGGUGUAUAGGCUAACCAACAUGCACCUGAAGGAGUGUUCCAGGAAGGUGGUGUUUGUUCCAACAGGGGACAACAUCGUGAGGAUGAGUUUACCCCUCCAUGUCCUGAAGGAGAGGGCGUCAUCACAUGAUCUGAGCUCAGAUGACAUGUGGAUGACCAGCAUAGUGGACAGGUACAGGAACAGGCCUGAUGGUGGUGUGUUUGACAACAUGUGUAUUGCCACGUUUGCCUCGGAGUAUCGUGUUCUCACCAGGAAUGAAAUUUCACCAAACAGAAUCGAGUUGAAGAACAAACUGGGCUUCAUCUUGAGGAGAACACGAUCUCAGUUUGCAGUUGUCCGCUAUAUGCGCUUCAAUUUGGACAAACAACGAGAGGCUUAUUUUCAGGGUGUGCUUCAGUUGUUCCUUCCUUAUAGAAGUGACUCAGAGCUCAAGCCCGAGGGCUUCCAGCUCUUUGAACAGUUCUAUAACGACGGUGAGGUGACGUUUGGCGACGGCUCCGUUCAUAGAGUCAAGGUGGUGGUGGAUGAGAACAGGGCCCGGUUUGAGAUCGAUCCUGAGAACCUGGAGCGUGCUGAGGAGAUCGCUCACCAUGUCCACGGCCUUGAGGAAGACGCUUGGGGGGACCUGUGUCCUGAACAGGAGCUGGAACGCGACGAGUGUGCUGAGGAGUUGAGAGAGCAACAGGCAACAGAGAUAGCAGAUGAGCAGUUGGUGGAGGGUCUGGAGAACGUUCCAGAUCUGCAGGAACGUGGCCGACAGGUGGCCCAGUUAGAGAGAAACAGGCUGGUGUUGUCUCGUGCUGAGGGCUUAGCUCUAGUUAGGUCUCUGAAUGAGACACAGCAGGCUGUUUUUUACCAGGUGAG